GCAGGACACAUUGAACAUCGACAUCUUGAACGCAUAUUGCGGCCUAGGGUCACUCCCUUGGCCACGCCUGUCUCAGGGUCGGUGAAACAAACUUCGCAAGCCAAUUGCUCUGUAUUGGGGCUUGCGCAUUGGGCUGUCGAAGUCCCCCCCUCAACGGGGACUCCGUCGCCUCAAGUUCAGACCCGAUUGCUUCGGCACGUCGCGUCUUGCGGUCUCGACCACAUAUGACGUAGCUCGCUGUAUCUGAUAUAAACAAAAAAAGCACUACGCCGGUCGUCCGAUUGCGAGUCGUGUCGCCGAAAGCGAUCGAAAGAGAAAGACAUUAGAAAACUCUCACCUCCGACCUGAGAUCAGACGAGACAACCCCCUGAAUUUAAGCAUAUCACUAAGGGGAGGAAAAGAAACUAACUAGGAUUCCCUCAGUAACGGCGAGUGAAGCGGGAAAAGCCCAGCACCGAAUCCCUCGGCCUUGCGCCGCUGGGACCUGUGGUGUUUAGGACGCCUCACUGCGGUGGGGUACGGGUGCCCAAGUCCUUCUGAUCGGGGCCUCUCCCAUAGCGGGUGUCAGGCCUUUACGGGCACUCGUCCUUCUGCUAAGAACGUCCUUGG
RNAcentral lists this ribosomal RNA (609 nucleotides) under Pinctada albina. RNAcentral describes it as "eukaryotic LSU rRNA". The stretch from base 341 to 609 matches the Rfam family "Eukaryotic large subunit ribosomal RNA", at positions 1 to 262 of the family's 3401-position model. The record is from RNAcentral. Lineage: Eukaryota; Metazoa; Mollusca; Bivalvia; Pterioida; Pteriidae.